AUGCCCCAACGUGGAUUACCGCAUCAAGACGUGUGCCCUUCUUUGUUUCAGAUGUCAAAAACCAUCGAUCAUCUGCUAGUAGUCUGCGUCUUUGCACAUGUCAUUUGGCACCCAGUUGUCACUGCCCAGGGACACGCGGAAUGGUCCACUCUAGAGACAGAUCGUCUUCUACAUAGGUGUGUUUCAUUACGAUCACCGCCCCAAGGAAAGACCUACAUACUCUUUUGUGUUGUUGUUGAGUUGGAAAAUGUGAAGCACCGCAAUGCAAAUCAUGUUCGGCAAUGCAUCUUCCCCGUUCGUUGA
Molecule: ribosomal RNA, 303 nt
Filed under: Triticum aestivum (bread wheat)
Lineage: Eukaryota; Viridiplantae; Streptophyta; Magnoliopsida; Poales; Poaceae
Description: partial small subunit ribosomal RNA
Source: RNAcentral